GACGAACGCUGGCGGCGUGCUUAACACAUGCAAGUCGAACGGAAAGGCCCUGCUUUUGUGGGGUGCUCGAGUGGCGAACGGGUGAGUAACACGUGAGUAACCUGCCCUUGACUUUGGGAUAACUUCAGGAAACUGGGGCUAAUACCGGAUAGGAGCUCCUGCUGCAUGGUGGGGGUUGGAAAGUUUCGGCGGUUGGGGAUGGACUCGCGGCUUAUCAGCUUGUUGGUUGGGUAGUGGCUUACCAAGGCUUUGACGGGUAGCCGGCCUGAGAGGGUGACCGGCCACAUUGGGACUGAGAGACGGCCCAGACUGCUACGGGAGGCAGCAGUGGGGAAUAUUGCACAAUGGGCGGAAGCCUGAUGCAGCAACGCCGCGUGCGGGAUGACGGCCUUCGGGUUGUAAACCGCUUUCGCCUGUGACGAAGCGUGAGUGACGGUAAUGGGUAAAGAAGCACCGGCUAACUACGUG
RNAcentral lists this ribosomal RNA (468 nucleotides) under uncultured bacterium. RNAcentral describes it as "partial 16S ribosomal RNA". It matches the Rfam family "Bacterial small subunit ribosomal RNA", at positions 28 to 507 of the family's 1533-position model. The record is from RNAcentral.